CCUACGGAGAGCUGCAGUGAGGAAUAUUGGUCAAUGGGCUUACGCCUGAACCAGCCAAGUCGCGUGAGGGAAGACUGCCCUAUGGGUUGUAAACCUCUUUUGUCAGGGAGCAAUUGGCGCUACGUGUAGCGUUAUCGAGAGUACCUGAAGAAAAAGCAUCGGCUAACUCCGUGCCAGCAGCCGCGGUAAUACGGAGGAUGCGAGCGUGAUACGGAUUUAUUGGGUUUAAAGGGUGCGUAGGCGGACGGCCAAGUCAGCGGUAAAAUCGCGGGGCUAACCCUCGCUCCGCAGUUGAAACUGGCGUUCUUGAGUGGGCGAGAGGUAGGCGGAAUGCGUGGUGUAGCGGUGAAAUGCAUAGAUAUCACGAAGAACUCAGAUUGCGAAGGCAGCAUACCGGCGCCCAACUGACGCUGAAGCACGAAAGCGUGGGUAUCGAACAGGAUUAGAUACCCGAGUAGUC
RNAcentral lists this ribosomal RNA (460 nucleotides) under uncultured bacterium. RNAcentral's name for it is "partial 16S ribosomal RNA". It matches the Rfam family "Bacterial small subunit ribosomal RNA", at positions 338 to 795 of the family's 1533-position model. The record is from RNAcentral.